Molecule: ribosomal RNA, 635 nt
Filed under: Oerskovia enterophila
Lineage: Bacteria; Bacillati; Actinomycetota; Actinomycetes; Micrococcales; Cellulomonadaceae
Description: bacterial SSU rRNA
Rfam family: Bacterial small subunit ribosomal RNA
Source: RNAcentral
GCUCAUUCCACGAGUUCCGUGCCGCAGCAAACGCAUUAAGUGCCCCGCCUGGGGAGUACGGCCGCAAGGCUAAAACUCAAAGGAAUUGACGGGGGCCCGCACAAGCGGCGGAGCAUGCGGAUUAAUUCGAUGCAACGCGAAGAACCUUACCAAGGCUUGACAUACACCGGAAACUUCCAGAGAUGGUUGCCCCGCAAGGUCGGUGUACAGGUGGUGCAUGGUUGUCGUCAGCUCGUGUCGUGAGAUGUUGGGUUAAGUCCCGCAACGAGCGCAACCCUCGUCUUAUGUUGCCAGCACGUUAUGGUGGGGACUCAUAAGAGACUGCCGGGGUCAACUCGGAGGAAGGUGGGGAUGACGUCAAAUCAUCAUGCCCCUUAUGUCUUGGGCUUCACGCAUGCUACAAUGGCCGGUACAAAGGGCUGCGAUACCGCGAGGUGGAGCGAAUCCCAAAAAGCCGGUCUCAGUUCGGAUUGGGGUCUGCAACUCGACCCCAUGAAGUCGGAGUCGCUAGUAAUCGCAGAUCAGCAACGCUGCGGUGAAUACGUUCCCGGGCCUUGUACACACCGCCCGUCAAGUCACGAAAGUCGGUAACACCCGAAGCCGGUGGCCCAACCCUUGUGGAGGGAGCUGUCGAA